Danio rerio (zebrafish) is the source of this 112-nucleotide non-coding RNA. Lineage: Eukaryota; Metazoa; Chordata; Actinopteri; Cypriniformes; Danionidae. The record is from Rfam.
GUCAGAAUGGCCGAGUGGUCUAAGGUGCCAGACUAAAGGUGAAUCAACUUUCUCAGUUAAUGAGAAUUCUGAUCUCCCGAUGGCGGUGUGGGUUCAAAUCCAACUUCUGACA